UGGGUGUUAUUUGUCCAUUUUUUGGCUUUUUUCGUUUUUUUUCUGUGUUUAAAAGGAAAAAAAGCAUAUGAAAAAAUACACUAGGGAGCUGAUAUUUCCUGCAGGAUACUAAAUCAUGUAGAAGUUCGAAAUGGCACCAUCCGGCAAUUUCUAACUUAUUGCAAACAGGCUGGGAAGAUUUGCACUAAACUCUUGUUAUUUUGCCAUUUUUUGGCUCAUUGACUCCCAUUAUAAAUCAUGAUUUUUAAUAUGCUGUAAACCUGAUGUUUUAUCAUGCAUUUUCCGUGAUUAUUGAUGCAAUCGCUUCUUUGGCGAGUCAAAAACAUGCAGAUAAAAAAAUUUUUGUGUUGACACCCAGAAGUCACUAGAUGGAGCCAUAGGCCAAUACAUGAAUUUUCUUGCGAAGCUAGCUUCAGAUCGGUCAAAAAUUAAUACAAUAAAGACGGUUGGCUUUACAAAAAAAAUGGUGUCAAUGUUGUCUGAGCUCACUUUCAGUCUAUUUGGGCAUGCGUAUUUGCAAUUUUGCACGUUUGCACAAGACAAUAAAAAGGUACUUCCCGGAAAUGCAAAAAAACCAAAACAAAAAACCACGUGUUUAUUGUUGUCGUUUGAAUUUCAACUUUUAUUGGUUGGGUGUUUGAAUUUCUUUACUCUCAUUGGUUCUGGGCAUUUUGGGAGUCUCUGUUCUCGCGAGGAUCACCAUUUUGCAUUUCUUCCAACACAACUUAUGAUCGAUGGCGGCGAGAAGUAUUUCACCGCAGGACACGAUUCGAAUGGUGUUAGAAAAUCCUGAUUCCGACGACGACGACCUUUGUUCGGACGCUUCUUUGGAGAGCCCAGAAGACAUUGAACAAAUUCUUCCGGACUUUCGAUGCCGGAGGAGGACGGCUUUGAUGACGAGGAUUAGGAAAUAGUUGACAACAUAACGAGAUGAAAGCGGGGAGCAGAAGGCGGGGGCACGGACAUGACCACGUUGAGGCGCAUGACGAAAAUGACGGCGAUCGAGGCCUGAGGCACAUACUCCUGCCGCCGGCGCGCACUCAGGUGGCCAAUGUGUGUUUUUUCACAUGCCGGACAUUUCGUCAUGCAGCGCGUUUGUGCUGUUCACGGAGAUCUACCCUCGUUUGUGCUGUUCACGGAGAUCUACCCUGAGUGGAACGUGAAGAAAAGCUACAAGCGCCGACUAUUUCUUGAGGAACUUGGCAAGGCUCUAAUUCGGCCAGAAGUCCUAAAACGGGAACCACCGCCUUCUGCCGAAGGCUUGGUUGAGCAGCGAGCUGGACCCCCGUCCAAGCGCAAACAAUGUGGCCUUUGCACAAAGCCACUUCGGGCUUCGAACAUAAUAAUAAAUAAUAAUACAUUUUAUUUAUAACGCACUUUACAUUUGAACAACAAAUCUCAAAGUGCACAUCAUGAAUUGUGUAUGUUGUUAUUAUGUUAACUGUUAUAUUGUAUGUAUGUUUUGUAAAAUUGUUAACAUAAAUUCUAUCAUCAAAUCA
Molecule: long non-coding RNA, 1499 nt
Organism: Corythoichthys intestinalis (scribbled pipefish)
Lineage: Eukaryota; Metazoa; Chordata; Actinopteri; Syngnathiformes; Syngnathidae
Exons: 2
Source: RefSeq, a predicted model, not a curated record